This 271-nucleotide unclassified non-coding RNA is filed under the name Ascomycota sp. Its description in RNAcentral is "partial contains small subunit ribosomal RNA, internal transcribed spacer 1, and 5.8S ribosomal RNA". The stretch from base 1 to 47 matches the Rfam family "Eukaryotic small subunit ribosomal RNA", at positions 1785 to 1831 of the family's 1831-position model. Lineage: Eukaryota; Fungi; Ascomycota. The record is from RNAcentral.
AAAGUCGUAACAAGGUUUCCGUAGGUGAACCUGCGGAAGGAUCAUUACCGAGUUAGGGUUGCUGAAAUAUCGCGCCCGACCUCCAACCCUUUGCUUACUUGACCUUUUGUUGCUUCGGCAGGCCCGCCCUUAUGGGCCGCCGGGAGAGCCUAAAAACCUCCUGGUCAGCGCCUGCCGAUGGCCCAAACUUAAACCCUUGCUUAAACGUGUCAUCUAAGUAAUUGUUAAAACAAAUAAUUAAAAACUUUCAACAACGGAUCUCUUGGUUCUG